This is a long non-coding RNA of Apodemus sylvaticus (European woodmouse), 1237 nucleotides long. RefSeq lists it as uncharacterized. The record is from RefSeq and is a predicted model, not a curated record. The transcript has 3 exons. Lineage: Eukaryota; Metazoa; Chordata; Mammalia; Rodentia; Muridae.
UGUAAUCCAGUGCUAGGGAGGCAGAAACAAAGGAUCCAUGAGACUCACUACUUGGUUUGUAUGUGCUCCACCCAGGGAGUGGCACUAUUAGGAGGUGUGGCCUUGUUGGAGUAGGUGUGUCACUGUGGCUGUGGGCUUUAAUAUCUAGUGCUAGCUGCCAGUCAGUGUUCUGCUGGCAGCCUUCAGAUGAAGAUGUACAACUCUCAACUCCUCUUUGCAUCAUGCCUGCCUGGAUACCUCCAUGUUCCCACCUUGAUGAUAUGGACUGAACCUCUGAACCUCUUCAUAGUGCUGGGAUUACAAAGUCCUCCACCAUCUCCAGUUCCUGUGUUGCCAGAGACUCAGCCCAGGACCAGGUACAUCCUAGGAAUGCAUGCAGUCUAUGAAAUGGAGAACAGCAUGAAGAAGUCAUAUGAAAGCAAUCACGGGGCUGUCUGUUAAAUGAGGGUUUGAACUAGACUAUGACGGGAUGGAGUUGAGAGAGUAUUUUUUUUUAACUCAAUUCAACAUCAACAAAUUCCAAUAAAUCUGUCAUGGGCAAAAUAACUAGCAACAUCCUGUUGUUUUGGUAACUAAGGUCUUGGGUUAAUUUUAACAUGCUUAAAGGUAAUCAAAGCAACUUUCUGCCCAUGCUUUCCAGACAGAAGGUCCCAAAUCCAGCAAAUCUAUGACAUGGUGACAGUGUUCCCAGUGGAACAAAUUCUGUUAGUGUAAUAUACUUACCUAAUAAACCUAGUUGUAUCCACAUCAUAAAGAUAUUUUAUAUUUAACCUUAACAUGUAAAGUUCAAGAGAACUUUAAUACAAGAAAAAAGUGGGGGAAAAUCCAUUCCUAAAGUGCAUCCUAAAGGUGUAAAUAAAAACUUCCUACCUUUUUAUUUACUUGUCUUGUGUGUACAUGGAUAGACCUGCAAGCAAGCUCGCCAUGGCAUAGGUGCGGAGGUCCAGUUCUGGAACUCGAACUCUUGACAACUCAUCAGGCUUGGCACCAGUGCCUUUAUCAAACACUUGCAUCAAACAAAAGUGAGCCUAGGGAUGUCCCUCAGUGGAGGAGAGGCCUUGGGCUUCACCUCCAGUGCCACAAAAACAAAACAACUGUUAUCUCAAAAGAAGAAAUAAGGACCUAGCAUUUUAUAAAACUGUUGUAAUGAAGGCUGGGAACAAAGCUCAAAGUUAGAGUACUAAGUGCCAAGAUUCAAUCCCCAGGACCAGAAAGUAUUAUCGUUAAAUUAAAUGAA